AUGCUAGGCCCCAGCUGCUUAUGUCUGGGAGGCAGGUUCCUGGGAGUAAAUAUGGGAUCCUCCAGGGAGAGUCUGCUUCUGGACACAACUGUCCCCCUCAUCACAGGGCUCCUUGACGAGGUUCAGAGACACCUGUACCCGGAUGUAAUGGGUGGAGGUCUUACACUCUGCAUCACUGGCUCUCAUGAGCUGACGCAUAGCUUGUGUCACUCGCUCGCGGGACGAGCUGUUCCCCAUUGUCCCUUGACCGGGAACUUUACUACCCUACGUCCCUCCUCAGGAUCCUUAAAUGCUAGCACUUCACACUUACCUGCAAACUUCUGAAGAGGAUGAGAGGGUCCCCGUACGGGCCACCACUUGCCGGAGCCGCUCAAACUGCCCGCAGUUUGAAGAACUGACGACACCGGGAUUCGUUGCAGAGACUUUAUUGGUUCUUUUCUUCCUUCUUCCUUCCCCCUCCCCGCUGCUUGCUCCCCCAUAUCUACCUGCCGCCCAGGCUGCGCAGCAGCUCAUAAUAGGCUGGCAGAGGCAGGGCUGACCCAUUCCAUGGCCUCGCAUUGGUCGCUCACUCAUGGCGGUAUCUGGCCGGGGGGGGCGGGAGCACUAGAGGCCGGCAGGGUCUUGCAUCCGCCUCCUACCAAAAAUUGCCCUCAAACAGUAUUUGGCCUUCUGGGCCACACAAUGUGGCUUUGCAAAGAGACAUAUACUUUUAAGGCUUUAUGUGCUUAUUAAAGGAUAAGCAUCCUGCCCGUGCAUAACUGAUGAGGGGCCUUAAGGAAUGUAAACCACCUCCUAGAAUUUCUUCAGGCUCAUCUUCCACUUGGAGCCAGACCAUUAGGGAAUCCCUCCCUUGUAAUGACUUGAUUAUUCCUUUUAUUUACUACUGUCCUCAUAAAAAUGACCUUUUCCAGAGCUUGUCUUUACUUCAAAAAUCUUGAAUUAUGUAAUCAUUAAAGUAUCACACCAACAACCCCCUACUCGGUACCUUUCGAGUGGGGUGCCCCCCCCCCCCCGCACUACUGGAGGACACCACCAUUAUAUUCUCUCAUCUAAUUCACCUAAAACAGAUGGAUACAGAGGAUUUGGGACUGGCUGCCAGCUUCACUCUAAGAUGACACAGUUGUAUCAAUUUCUCGGGGGGCUGGAAGAGAACACGUGCACAGACAAUCCGGGCCCCUCACCUGCAGACCUGGGAUGUCCUGCUCCAUUUGGAAGCAGCCAAUCCUGAAGCUCCAGCUUCCAGACGAGGCGACCUAUUCCAUCCCGCCAUGCCCCUGAAAGGCCCUUAUUUGAUAAUCUGCCCUCCCAAGCUCAUGCCUAUCAGGCGUGACUUUCCCCG
This is a long non-coding RNA of Suricata suricatta (meerkat), 1339 nucleotides long. Lineage: Eukaryota; Metazoa; Chordata; Mammalia; Carnivora; Herpestidae. The record is from Ensembl.